This 587-nucleotide ribosomal RNA is filed under the name uncultured archaeon. RNAcentral's name for it is "bacterial SSU rRNA". It matches the Rfam family "Bacterial small subunit ribosomal RNA", at positions 75 to 645 of the family's 1533-position model. The record is from RNAcentral.
GGAGCUUGCUCCUUUAGGUUAGCGGCGGACGGGUGAGUAACACGUGGGCAACCUGCCCUGCAGACUGGGAUAACUUCGGGAAACCGGAGCUAAUACCGGAUAACACCGAAAACCGCAUGGUUUUCGGUUGAAAGGCGGCUUUUAGCUGUCACUGCAGGAUGGGCCCGCGGCGCAUUAGCUAGUUGGUGAGGUAACGGCUCACCAAGGCGACGAUGCGUAGCCGACCUGAGAGGGUGACCGGCCACACUGGGACUGAGACACGGCCCAGACUCCUACGGGAGGCAGCAGUAGGGAAUCUUCCGCAAUGGACGAAAGUCUGACGGAGCAACGCCGCGUGAGCGAAGAAGGUCUUCGGAUCGUAAAGCUCUGUUGUCAGGGAAGAACAAGUGCCGUUCGAACAGGGCGGUACCUUGACGGUACCUGACGAGGAAGCCACGGCUAACUACGUGCCAGCAGCCGCGGUAAUACGUAGGUGGCAAGCGUUGUCCGGAAUUAUUGGGCGUAAAGCGCGCGCAGGCGGUUCCUUAAGUCUGAUGUGAAAUCUCGCGGCUCAACCGCGAGCGGCCAUUGCAAACUGGGGAACUUGA